GACGAACGCUGGCGGCGUGCUUAACACAUGCAAGUCGAACGGAAAGGCCCCGUUUGGGUUACUCGCGUGGCGAACGGGCGGGUAAGACGUAAGUAACCUGCCCUUGACUUCCGGUUAGCUACAGUCAACUGGCUCUAAUACCGGACAGAUAUCCGUGCUGCCUGGAUGGGGUUGGAAAGCUUCGGCGGUUUGGGUUGGACUCACGGCUUAUCCGCUUGUUGGUGGGGGGGUGGCUUACCAAGGCUUUGACGGGUAGCCGGCCUGAGAGGGCGACCGGCCCACUUGGGACUGGGAUACGGCCCCGACUCCUACGGGGGGCAGGAGGGGGGAAUAUUGCACCAUGGGCGGGAGCCUGAUGCAGCAACGCCGCGGGCGGGAUGACGGCCUUCGGGUUGUAAACCGGUUUCAGCAGGGGCGAAGCUUGUGGUGACGGUACCUGCAGAAGAAGCACCGGCUAACUACGUG
RNAcentral lists this ribosomal RNA (465 nucleotides) under uncultured bacterium. RNAcentral describes it as "partial 16S ribosomal RNA". It matches the Rfam family "Bacterial small subunit ribosomal RNA", at positions 28 to 507 of the family's 1533-position model. The record is from RNAcentral.